GCCCAUUUAUGUGAAAUGUCAAAACAUACAAAUCAAAUAACACACUAACACAAAGCAAAAAAGACAGAGACUAAAAAGUUUCAACUUGGUUAAUUUAUGCAGCUGCACUGAUGCACUCAAUAGCCUGUUUGCAGAUGCCAGUCAUGGUUUCCUCAGGUCCAUAAACCUCAAUUGGGAUGCCAAUUUCCUCACCAAGAGACCUCAUUUUUGCAAGACCUUUUUGGUAGUUUGGACCUCCUCUUCUAACAUAGAUAUGCAUUCUUGCAGCUUUAAGUUUUGACUCCUUCUCCUUAAGAGCUCGAAUAAUACCACUAAAUGUAGCAGCAACAUCAGUGAAAUUGGCUAUUCCACCACCAAUCACAAGGGCUCUCUUACGACCAUCAGGGUUUGCAGUGGCACAAUCAAUUACAACUCUAGCAUACUGCAAGACCUCUUCUUCAUUGGGAGCACCACUGUACUCUGCAUAGUUCCCAAGCUCAGAAGCAUAUCCAAGAUCACCUACAGUAUCGGCAUAAAUGACACUAGCUCCUCCACCAGCAACCAUAGUCCAAAUUCGCCCCUUGGGGUUCAAGACUGUGAACUUCAAAGAUGCACUUGUCUUUU
Molecule: unclassified non-coding RNA, 603 nt
Filed under: Hevea brasiliensis (rubber tree)
Lineage: Eukaryota; Viridiplantae; Streptophyta; Magnoliopsida; Malpighiales; Euphorbiaceae
Source: RNAcentral